Long non-coding RNA from Lycium ferocissimum, 1606 nucleotides. RefSeq lists it as uncharacterized. The record is from RefSeq and is a predicted model, not a curated record. The transcript is spliced from 2 exons. NCBI's taxonomy places the organism in Eukaryota, Viridiplantae, Streptophyta, Magnoliopsida, Solanales, Solanaceae.
UUGAGCACUACUAAGAAUUAGUUCUUCAGUAUAAGGGUAUAAUUGGAAAAAAAAUAAUCCCUCCAUCCCAAUUUAAGUGUCUUUUUCUCUCCUUCUUUGGCUUACUUUCCUUUUUAUUCUCUUUUAAAGAGAAUGCUUGUGUUUUAAUUCUAACUUUUCCAAGGCAUUUUGGUAAUUUUCUGAACUUUCUGGAACCUCUACUGUAAUUUUUUCUCUCUCUAAACCCGAUUAAGAAGUUGUAUAGUUUACUAAAUUGCCCCUUUUGAUUAUUAAAUGUUUCUUGAAAUUUUAGCACUAUUAAGAAUUAGUUCUUCAAUAUAUGGGUAUAGUUGGGAAAAAAUGCUACUCCUUCCGUACACUUUUACUUGUCCACUUACCUUGAAAAUUAAUAAAUGAAGUAUAUAUUUUACCAUAAUAUUUAUUGGUGUAUAAUCUUACUAGACUUGAAAAAUGAUUUGGAAAUGAGUAAUCAAUGUUCCUGUUUGUGUUUGAUAUGCUAAAUUGCAUAGGUAAAAAGUGAAAAUUUAUUUUUAGUAUAGUGGACAAGAACGGAGGGACUACUCCUUCUGUCAAUAUUAGUUGUCACAUUUCUUAAGAAAUGAUAAAUGAAAGGUAUUAUUUUACUACCUUACCCUUAUCUCUUCUCAAUAAUUGCACUCUAAUAAGUAUUGAUUAUUUUCAAGAACAUUUGAUAUUAAGAGGAAAAUGGAAUAAAAAUAAUUAAUUUCAUCUCGAUUUUGUAAAAUGACAACUACUCCCUCUGUUCACUUUUACUUGUCCACUAUACUAAAAAUAAAUUUUCACUUUUACUUGUCCGCUUUAGCAUAUCAAGCAAAGACAAACUUUUUUUUUUUUUUUUCUUGUUUUACCCUUACACUAAUUACUAAUUUUCAAAUUAUUCUCCAAGUUCAAUAAGACUAUAUACCAAUUAAUAUGGGCAUUAUUGUAAAAUAUAUACUUCAUUUAUUAAUUUUUAAGGGGCGUGUAAAGUUAAAAGUAGACAAGUAAAAGUGAACGGAAGGAGUAUUUUUAGUAACCUUAUGGGACAGAGAGUAUUUAAAUUGAAACUUUACUACCUUACCCUUGCAAUUUGGAUGUCAAGCCCUCGGCCGGUAAUUUUCUCUUUUUUUAUUUUUCUGGGUUAGUGGAAAAUGAAACGAAGUCUUUUGAAAUUUACUUGUCCACGUUACUAUCUGUCCCAAAAAACUUUGUCAAUUUACAAAAUCAAGAUAAAAUUAAUUAAAUUUUCCCAUCUUACUCUUAAAUACUAAGUGUUCAAUAUUGAUUUAAAGUCCAAUUUAAGGGAAAGAGAUAAGGGUGAGCUAGUAAAAAUAUGAUUUCUUUAGGUGCGUGUAAAGGGAAGGUGGACAAGUAAUAUGAGACGGAUGGAGUAUUUAAUCUAAAUUUUUUACAAUUUGGAUGUAAAGCCUUUUGCUUUUAAAGCUUUUGGAUUUUUUGGAACCUGUGCUGGUAAUUUCUCUCUAUAUUACUCCCUCCUUCCCAAAAUAAGUGUGUUUUAGCUCAUUUCAUGCCCAUUAAGAAAUUAGUGACUCAGUUCCAAGACAAGUGAAUUUUUCAAAGUCCAAGAGGUUAUCAAUUAGAUUUU